GUGCCAGCCGCCGCGGUAAUACCGGCAGCACGAGUGAUGGCCGAUUUUAUUGGGCCUAAAGCGUUCGUAGCCGGCCGGACAAGUCCGUUGGGAAAUCCACGCGCUCAACGCGUGGGCGUCCAGCGGAAACUAUCCGGCUUGGGGCCGGAAGACUCGAGGGGUACGUCCGGGGUAGGAGUGAAAUCCCGUAAUCCUGGACGGACCACCGGUGGCGAAAGCGCCUCGAGAAGACGGACCCGACGGUGAGGAACGAAAGCCAGGGUCUCGAACCGGAUUAGAUACCCGAGUAGUCC
Molecule: ribosomal RNA, 293 nt
Filed under: uncultured bacterium
Lineage: Bacteria
Description: partial 16S ribosomal RNA
Rfam family: Archaeal small subunit ribosomal RNA
Source: RNAcentral